Wyeomyia smithii (pitcher-plant mosquito) is the source of this 3229-nucleotide long non-coding RNA. RefSeq lists it as uncharacterized. The record is from RefSeq and is a predicted model, not a curated record. The transcript has 3 exons. NCBI's taxonomy places the organism in Eukaryota, Metazoa, Arthropoda, Insecta, Diptera, Culicidae.
GCUAGGAUGAAGAUGAAAGGCGCUAUGGAAUUAAGUUCCACUUUUUGCCUUAUUGAACCACUGUGCAAUGGUAAGCUCGUUUUACAUCGUUUCAAAAUUAAUUUGAAAUCUUUCAAAAGACAGAGUGUCUGAAAACAGUGCUUCAAAACUUUUUACUCUUUUUACUUUUUAUUGUUGGUAAACCAAUGUUACAUAAUACCUAUCCGAAAUUGCUCAAUGUUUGGGUACAUCGAAGUAACUUCCACUGGGCAAAUAUAAUAAUUAAAUUAUAUAAAAUAAUUAUGUGAAUUAUCGCUUUUUGCAUUGUCAAAACAGAUACAACCACUUAUCAGUGAAAGUAAAGUAUGCGCUCACCAUAUGGCUUUUAACAAUUCUAAAUUCAUCGGUAUUUAUACACUUGUGUUAUUUGAAACAAUCGAAAUACUUAUUGUAUUUUAUGGAAGGAUAUGUACUAGGGUGGGGAAUCGAUAUAUGGAAAAAACGAAACUUGAUAGCAGAAAGCCAGAACCAAGUUUGUUUUGUUCUAUUUGGGGCCCCAAACAAUCCUAAAUUUAUCGGAAGUCGAUUGGUUUCGUCUCUGCUUGGCGCAUUGCAUUUCAAAUUUAUAUGGAGAUUUGUAUGGAAAAACCAACUUUUAUGCAUUUUCCAAUCUAAAGAGCUCAAAAUGGCUCAAAUGAAAGGUUUCAUGACUUCAAAUGGUAGGUUUUUUGAUGCCUAACAACUUGGCCGAAGACACUAAAGAGCUAGGGUGUCCCAAAAAAUACUAGAGCUGUUCAAAGUUGAGUAUGUAGAAAUUUAUGUUGCAAACCAUGUUUUCUGCUAACACUGCCGUUGUACCGGCGUCAGUCAGAUUUCCAUCAGAAGUAACCUUUGAAACACGUUGUAGAUUCUUUCUACGCCUAGAAUAUUGACCUAAAUUUGUUUUGCUAAGUGUACAAACUCGUGACGAUAGGUUACUUCUGAUGGGAAUCCUACUGACGCCGGUACAUUGGUAAUGUUGGCAGAAAACAAGAUUUUCUGCAUUUAAAUCGCCAUAUUCAACUUUGAACAGCUAUAGCUCUUUUUAGAGACAUCCUAGCUCUUCAGUGUCUUUUGCAAAGGUGUUAAGCAGGUAUUAGACGAAGCAAAUAUUUGCUAUUUUUCAAUACAGAUACAGUGCAAAUAAAAAUCGUACCAAAAAUAGCAAAUAUUUGCUUCGUCUAAUACCUGCUUUAGGCAUCUAAAAUACUAUACUUUAACAUAAUGUAGUGCAUUAUUAGAGUAUUAUUGAGCUCUCUAGAAAGGUAAAUGCAAAAAAGUUGGGUUUCCCAUACAAAUUUCCAUACAAAUUUGAAAUGCAAUGCGCCAAGCGGAGACAAAACCAAUCGACUACAUGUAAGUUUAGGGUUGUUUGGAGCCCCAAAAGAAACCAAACAAACUUGGUUCUGAAAGAUCGAUCAUUUUUCCCCACCCUAAUAUGUACCUUUAGAUAAAGCAAUAAAAAUAUUCGCAUUUUUUCGACUAAAGUAUCUUUUCUCAAAAAAUCAUAAACGUCUGAGCAGUAGAUACACUUUGACAACUAUAGCAAGCGCGUCAAGAACCAUUAACUCGAUCAGCCUGAAUUUUAGACAGGCUUGUUCAUAACAAUAAUAGCAUGCUCGGGAAUGAAGGAAUUUCAAUUUAAAGCUACAUUUUUUCCUACCGAAAAUUUUCACUUAAAUAACGAAACUUUUUAGUAAAACGGUCACCAUUUCUGAAAAAAAGCAUGCAAAACCCACCAUUCAUGUACAGCGCAAAGGUACAACUUACAGGAUUUGUUCGUUUUUUUUUGUUUUAUGUUUUGUUUUUGUGUUUCUGAUAAGAAGUUCUUUCUGUAACAUGCUCACCGCGAGAGACGUUGGAAAAAUUAUGUUUUGGUACAAUGACUGUAGUGUUUUUUUUUUUUUUUUUUUGAAAAUUUCACAUGAUAUGCGUGAAUAAAUGUGCAUUAACUUUUUUUAAAUAUUUCGUUUGUCUUCACCAACAAAAAUAUUUUUUUAUCGCGAGCACAAGUGCAUAACCUUUUAAGACGGAAGCUGCGUGGCCGCAAGGUUACAGAGUCUGCUUUGUCAGUCGAUAUCAAUAAGAAUUAACCAUGGGUUUAUUCUCAGGCUCCCCCAUCAAUUACCUUUCCUUUACUCUAAAUUCUAUUAUACCUUUGUGUGACUUUCUCUUAACGAAAAUAAUUUCCUAUCAACAAUAAAACUGACCCAAAGGGCGCACGAUUUUAGUUAAAAAGUUUUAGAAAAAUCUUGCAUUCAUUCCUAGGGUCCAAUGAAAAACAAUGAGACAGGUGAGUACGAUCAGCCAACCUACUUGUUUCGGGAAAAACAUGGGAAAUGUGGUCCCAUAAGCUUCUGUACUGGUUAGUGGAGCAAAAUGGACACAGCUUUGCUAGAUGCUUUGUGAGAUGAUAGUUUACGACAAUAAAUAUUCAAAAUUUUGAGUUGUGUCGUUAUCCGACGAUACAAUGGUCACUUCUUCACAAUGCACUUCGUUUGGAGAUAAACACUUUGGCGAUACGCUGCAGUUUCCAAGGAAUCACACGGAUUCUUGCAAAGCUGUGAAUUGACUUUCACUGUCUUCCAGCAGACUAUUUUACUACCGGAGACACCCGACUUUGCAAUGUAAGUAAACAAGAAAAUAAUUGCAAGUGAUGAAUAAAAUGUAUUUUUUUUUUGUCAUUUUGAGUAGCUUCAUGUUAAUUACGAGCGGAAUCUGUACGCGGCCGUAGUCACAGGAAGCUGAGGUCUAUACCGGGUGCGCUUGAAGCUUCCAAUGCCGAACUUGAGUGAAACAUACCAGCACGAGAACAUGAAGAAGAAACUGCUGUUGCUGGACUACUGCUGCUGUUGGGACCACUGUUGCUGCUGGGACUAUUACUACUGCUGCUGGGACUGCUGCCGAACUGUUGCCUCCAAGCAGUUUCGUGGAAACUCUAGGAACAACUAUUACAACAUGAUCCAAUGAUCAACUCGAAGGCUCAGAAAUAUUGAAACGGAUAGGUAAAAUUGCUCCAGCGGGAGAACCUUGACUGAUACGAAAAAUUCAGCGAUUGCGACAUCGAUCGGGCAAGCAAGUCUACACAAUUGGAACGCUGCGUUCAUACACAUAUCCUGUUGUUACCAGGAAAUGAUUCAAUUAAAUGAACAAACAGAAUAAAAUUCAAAUCAAUCUAUUGUACGCUCUUUUAAAUGAUAGAAUGAUCAAA